UGAGUGAAAGACUCACAAGAGAAGCUGAUUGCCCAGGAGAAACACUGCAACUGAUUCAACAAGUGCCACUGAAUACCCCAAGUCAAAAGAGAGAAUUGCUCCCUGGCUAAUCAUUCUGUUGCAGAAGCAUUAAAUUACUUGUCAAACUGGCAACUACAAAGAAUCGUGUCCAGCGAUGGAACACAUUCACAAAGCCAAAUUAAAUUCCAUUGCAAGCACAAAACUGUUUUCAAAACUGUGUUCCAAGCUGACAAGAGUGCCACAAGCAAAGAAAAAUUAUAAGCACAAAUUGCAUUCUGGAGAUAAAUUACCAGUCCUCCCCAAACCUUUACCUCAAACAUUAUUAAGCUCAGCACUACAAAAGGAAACUCUCUGAAAAAAAGCAUCAUGCUAGUUACUCUGUAUCACUACACUGACUCUGUGGCAUGAGACUGCACCCUAAUUAGUGGUGUGGCUUGCAUCUCUGUAACUGAAUUAUCCUGACUGCUCUUUUUUAUUAUUAGUUCUCUCUUCCAGAAGGGUAGAAUAUUAUCUGCUGCAUUGUUUUCAUUUACGCUUAUUGAUACUGAAUUUAAUUAUGUUUUUCUAGCUCAUAGUACUUAGGAAAUUGGAAAGAGCCUGCUCAAAAUUAAAAAUAUAUUAGAGGAAUUAAUGAACAGUUUACUUGUCGGUGAGCUGGUUCGGAUGACAUCAAUUUGGCCAUUAAAUAAAGCCAAUCAUCCACCAGGUACACGAAAUUUCUAUCAGUGUGUACAUGAGUCAAGAAAACAUGCUUACUGCAAUUUUCUAUAGGAAAAGUGCCAUUUUUAGAGUGGCAGAUCUUGGCCUCUUUAGUCACACUGACAUCACUGACAGUGCUGAGGCCCUACUCCAGCACCCACAGAAAUCAAGACCAAGUGACCCAAUUCAGCAAAGACUGAAUAUGAAUUUUCUAGAGGUGAGGAGUUCCCCAAAGCCAGUGGGACCAGACAGGCAGGAAAGCACAUAAAUACUCCUUGGCAGGAUAAAGACACGUGUGGGCUACAUGGGCUCAUCAGCAAUGAUGGGGCUGUUCAUGGCUCCUCACCUCAACUGUGGCUCUUGCCCCUGGGAGACACAAAGAACAAGUUUCCACUAAAAGGUCAAAAAACAGGAGCCUUGAACUCAAGGGGAAACGUCAUGCUUGUGAAAGUUGGAAAAACACCAAAACCCCCCAAAAUCUGUAACAAGCACUCCACACAUCUAACCCUAACAUCUCCAUCCACUCCUACCCAGGAUCUGCUUGUUUAUUCUAACAAAAAUUGGGAAGAUGCAUCAAUGUGACUUGACUACUGAUUCCCCUGAAUGAAUCAGUAUUUCAAAAUCUUGCAAUCCUGCAUAUUAAAAUUUUAACUUACAUCGGAUGAAGCUGAUUCAAGGAUAAUUCCAAACCCUGAAACAGGGGUUUCUGGUUUCAGGGGGGGUUCAAUUGCUUGCAGACUCGAUCGUUCUGAGUUUGCUGACAGUCUCUUCUCGUUCUCUGCAGAGUUGGGUUUCUUAUUCAUGGUAACUGCUUCAACAGCUUUGAGGGGCAGUUUUCUCUUUUUAUUUCUCUUUCUUGAUAUUGUUGACUUCUGUGCACAAAUCAGAGGAACAGGAGGCUGCUGUCUGUUUUGAGUCCCAACUGAAUGAAAGAAAUUAAUGCAUUAAUUUUAUAGACAAAAGUCCAUGAAUAACCACACAGAUGCACCAAUAAAUUACUGACACACUGAACUUAUAUUCUAGAUAAGUGAUGUGAUUUUCAGGGCUGCUGCUGCCUGGGAAACAAAUAAGUUUUAUCACCUUUGCAUAAUUUUCCUAUAACUACAAUGGGGAUAAUGACAGUGAGCUCUGCUGUGCGGCUUUUCAAGUCACACUGAUGAACAGUAUUUUAGGAAAAUUAGGAAUACAUGGUUCUUUUUCCUAGUGACCACUGGAUGGUUGGUGACAUGAAGCACUUAAGUGAUGAUUAAUUUGUCUGCCCUCUGAAUGACUGAGAAUCUCACUGUCAUUGAGGAUCUCUUCCUGAUAAAGUAAGAUAAUACAAGCGCUAAUGCAAUGACAGUUAUCUUUAUGACUGUGGUCUCCAAGUUAAUUAGCUAAGCAAGAACAUUUCAAGUACCAUUAUGUCAAGAAUGAGUGAAAACACUAUUCAAUAGUUUAAUUUCUAGGGGAAAAAAGUAACCCAAAGUUGCAUCAGAUUGUUUUGCUCAUACACAAAAACUGACAUGUAUUACCUUUGAAAUGUGAGAAACCGUAUUUUAUAUUUAUCAGUGUUUUGCAUUUUCCAAUAUCCACAAUCAUUGGUAUAAAUUAAGGCACUAAUCCUGAACUUGCAUCAAUAUGAGCAAGCCCUCCAGAAGAAUGCUAUCAAGAUACAAUUAUAUGUGUGGAUAAAUCACUAAGAUCAAGGUCAAAACAAACAAACAAAAAGCCAGAAGUGCUAUACAUGCAGAUCAAACUCAUUCAAGACA
Corvus hawaiiensis (hawaiian crow) is the source of this 2471-nucleotide long non-coding RNA. RefSeq lists it as uncharacterized. NCBI's taxonomy places the organism in Eukaryota, Metazoa, Chordata, Aves, Passeriformes, Corvidae. The transcript has 2 exons. The record is from RefSeq and is a predicted model, not a curated record.